This 546-nucleotide ribosomal RNA is filed under the name Klebsiella quasipneumoniae subsp. quasipneumoniae. Its description in RNAcentral is "bacterial SSU rRNA". It matches the Rfam family "Bacterial small subunit ribosomal RNA", at positions 161 to 695 of the family's 1533-position model. Lineage: Bacteria; Pseudomonadati; Pseudomonadota; Gammaproteobacteria; Enterobacterales; Enterobacteriaceae. The record is from RNAcentral.
AGCUAAUACCGCAUAAUGUCGCAAGACCAAAGUGGGGGACCUUCGGGCCUCAUGCCAUCAGAUGUGCCCAGAUGGGAUUAGCUAGUAGGUGGGGUAACGGCUCACCUAGGCGACGAUCCCUAGCUGGUCUGAGAGGAUGACCAGCCACACUGGAACUGAGACACGGUCCAGACUCCUACGGGAGGCAGCAGUGGGGAAUAUUGCACAAUGGGCGCAAGCCUGAUGCAGCCAUGCCGCGUGUGUGAAGAAGGCCUUCGGGUUGUAAAGCACUUUCAGCGGGGAGGAAGGCGUUAAGGUUAAUAACCUUGUCGAUUGACGUUACCCGCAGAAGAAGCACCGGCUAACUCCGUGCCAGCAGCCGCGGUAAUACGGAGGGUGCAAGCGUUAAUCGGAAUUACUGGGCGUAAAGCGCACGCAGGCGGUCUGUCAAGUCGGAUGUGAAAUCCCCGGGGCUCAACCUGGGAACUGGCAUUCGAAACUGGGCAGGCUAGAGUCUUGUAGAGGGGGGGGUAGAAUUCCAAGGUGUAGCGGGUGAAAUGCGUAGAG